Molecule: non-coding RNA, 4858 nt
Organism: Loxodonta africana (African savanna elephant)
Lineage: Eukaryota; Metazoa; Chordata; Mammalia; Proboscidea; Elephantidae
Source: the annotation of a RefSeq genome assembly
GAGGUCUGGAAGGACAUGGUGCAGGGACAAAUAAGGGAAACCCUGUGUUAAAGAAGCAGUAAAUGGUGUAGGGGACGAACUAUUGCUCUGUGCCUGACCAGCCACGCCCAGACUUCCUGCCAAAAAAGAAGCUGGCUAUAAUAUCACAGAGACAGGUGAGCUUCACCCUGUGACGUCAACAGCAGCUCUGUCACCACAGGCAAAUCUAUCUACCAGGGACCAGGGACUCUGAACUCUCUCUCCCGACCCAGAGAUCAGAGCCUGGAACAGACAGACACCCCACUCCCGCUCUGGACCUGCCAUGGGCCCCAGGUUUCUCCCCGUAUGGUCCUUUGUCUUCUGAAACCAGGCCACACAGAACCUGGAGUCCUCUAGACCCUCCAUCACAGGCUCACAGAGGUGGGCCAGAAGGUGACUCUGAAGUGUGACUUCCCCCUCCUGGUCACAUAUUUGUGUACUGGUACCAGUAGAGUCAGGGACAGGCCAUGAAGUUUCUGAUUUCCUUUCAAUAUCAAAAAGCCAAGGUGGUGUCAGGGAUGCCCAGGGAGUGGAUCUUGGCCAAGAGGCCCAAAAGGCCCUUCUCCACACUGAGCAUACAGCCUGAGGAGCAUGGGGACUCAGCAGUAUGCCUGCAUGCCAGAGGCUGUGGGGGCACCACACAGUGUGGCCAAUCCCUCAGCCCAUGCACAAACCCUUGGCUUUCUCCCACUCCUGACUUUAAGAACACCUUCCAGCUUGGUCUUCCCGCCAUAGAAGCAAUACGAAGGUUGACUGUUGUGGUUCCAGCUGCUCCCAGUGGAGAGAAAGACCAUGAACGAUGUCUUCAAUCAUCACCAUGGGUGUGCUUUGGGGCACUGGCUUCUGAAACACCUAAAAAACCACACAGCAUCGGGCAGUCUGAAGAAGACAAGCUUAGAAGUAGAGGCUCCAAGAUAAAUCUUUAUAUACAUAUAUAUAUAUAUACACACACACACAUCCAUAUAUAUAUAGUGUACACAUAUAUGUAUUUAUAUAUUAUAUAUGCAUAAGAAACCUUUUGCCGUCAAGUCAAUUCUGACUCAUAGCAACCCUGUAGGAUGGAGUAGAACUGCCCCAUAGGGUUUCCAAGGAGUGGCUGGUGGAUUCGACUGUGGAUCUUUUGGUUAGCUGCUGAGGUCUUAAGCACUGCACCACUAGGGCUACAAUAUAUAUGUACAUAUGUGUGCAUAUACAUAUAUCUGUUUGGACAUGUUUUAUACAUAUAUUUAUACAUGUGUACGUGUGUAUGCAUACACCUAUAUGUAUAUAGAUAUUACCAAAGGACAUUGAAGAAAGGCCAGGAAACAACCAAGAGGAUGAAAUUGACAUAAAUAAACACCUAAAACUGGCCAGAGAGGAAGUGGCCAAUUGGACGUAAGACCCUGGUGUGAGGGCCCUCAUGGACCCAAGUGCAGCCACCAUGCUCUGCUCAGCAGCAGACAUGAGUGGUGCGUUGAUUUCCACAGCUGCUGCGGGUACCUGGGACCGAAUCCAGGGGUCCCUCUUACCCUGAAAAAGAUGACGGGAUCUAGAGGCACCCUGCAGGACCAGGGUGUCUGCGAGCUCCUAUGGGCAAAGCAUCACCAUAAAAAAAAAAAAAAUUUUUUUUUUUUUUUUACCUUAAGCAGAAGGUAAAACAGACCUGCCAGUCUGAGGAAGCUUCUUGGGAAGUGCGGAGGCACCGCCCCCAGGGCAGAGGAAAAUGCAGAGGCCCUGAGACCCAUGAGGAGGUGCACUGACUCCUGUCUCCUGGCCUCAGGCUCCUCAUCUGCAGAAUUAGGGAGCCUGCAUUGAGUGGCCUCAGGAUCCCUGCCGCUGUUCAUCUAGCCUUCUAAGGAUUUCGUAUAUUCACCUUGGGAGCCCCCAGAGUGUUCCCCUUCCCCUCUCUCCUCAAGUGCUGGGCACACAAGGAGACCCCUCCCCGCAAUGGCCAGCCAGGUCCUCUGCUUCGUGGCCCUUUGUCUCCUGGGAGCAGGCAUCGCAGAUUCUGGAAUCUCUCAGACCCAAAAUACCUGGUCUGAGAGAAAGGGCAGAACAUGUCCCUGAGCUGUGAACAGAGUUUCGAUGACUACUCCAUGGACUGGUACCAGCAGGACCCAGGGCAGGGGUGGAAGCUGGUCUACUACUCACCUGUGAUAAAUGACAUCCAGGAAGGAGGUGCAGCUGCAGUCCACAGUGCCUCUCGGCAGAAGAAGGAGCCCUUCCCUCUGGCGGUGACACGGGCCCAAAUGACCCACACAGCUCUGUACCUCUGUGCCAGCAGCAAGCCACACAGAAGCACGGCCACCCCCUCCCCGUGCAUAAACGUGUCCCAACCACAGGCCUGGGCAUUCUGUUUCCACACCCUGCCCUCCUCCUACAGCCCAGCCAGGCACACGAAGCUGCUGCAGCUAUAUAAAAAUGAACUAAAAGGAGGGCAUAUAAAAAUGAAAGCAAAAUGCUUUGGAGAAAACCCUCAGUCUCUUUGCAAUUGCUCUUCAUUUCCAGGAGUAAUCCUGCAGGUCAAGUAGUCCAGCACACGCAAAGCAGAGAGAAAUUCCCUAAAUUUCCUAGGACCCAUUUCCACAGGCCAAUACUCAACUAUGACGUCCACUACAGUAAAGUAACUCGAAUUAACUAUCCUCCAGUCUCCACGUUGCUUUACACAGAGACCUGCGAGCAAUGAUCAAUAAACACUUCCAGGAUCAGGCCCAUCAUUCUAUGAGGUGAAAUGUCAUGCCAUAGUCCUGAAGUAAAUGCCACAUGGAGUGAACAAAGGGGUGUCCUCAUCACCCAAAAUACCAAACCCACUACUGUGGAGUCAAUUCUGACUCAUAGCUACUCUAUAGGACAGAGGAGAACAGCCUCAUAGGGUUUUCUAGGCUGUAAUCUUGAUGGAAACAGACUGCCACAUCUUUCUCCUGUGGAGCGGCUGGUGGGUUCAAACUGCCUUUCAGUUAGCAGUCGAGUGCUUAACCACUGAGAAACCAGGCUCCUUUGUCCUCUUCACAGUCAUGAAGAAACACUGCACCUACAGCCUAGGAUUUCUUACGCUCACCAGUAGCUGUCAUGAUUAACCAUGAUUUGUCUUAGUCUGAUAACUGAAAACAUUGCACAGAAGAAAAAAACUGACAAUAACACCAUCCACUACACAGAUACCCCCUUUCCUUUUAUACGGCUAAGAAAGUUGCGUAGUUGUUGUUGUGAGCUGCCAUCCAGCCGAUUCCGACUCAUUACAACCCCGUGUGAAGGUGCAUAAGGCAUUUCAAAGCUCCAAGUCUCAGCUUAUCUCUUAUAAAAUUAGAGGCUGGGUUAGAAAGCCUGAGCCCCCUUUUGGGAAUGCCUGGUUCUCUGACCUUUGAGAAACGGAUGCAGGUUGCACCAUUGGUGAGCUCAUCCCAAGGGGGCAGAUCAGAGCGUUCCUCAGGAGAGCCCCCUAGGGGUGCAGAGAAGAACGCAGAGCAGGACCCAGUCUCUUGAGAGAAAGUGUGGUGAGAGGCCAGCCCUGGAGGAUGCUGGUGCUGCUUCUGCUCCUGGGGCCCGGCUCCAUGCUGGGUGCCCUUGUCUCUCAACACCCGAGCUGGGCCAUCUGCAAGAAUGGGACCUCAGUGGAGAUCAAGUGCCGCGUCACGGGCAUCCAGGCAACAACGAUGCUCUGGUAUCUCCAGCUUCCAGAGCAGGGCUUCACCCUGAUAGCAACUUCUGUCCAGGGCUCCGGUGUCACCCACGAGCAAGGCUUCACUGAGGCCAAGUUCCCCAUCAGCCACCCAAACCGCACGUUUUCAAAUCUGACGGUGACCAAUGCACAGGCUCAGGACAGCAGCCUCUACUUCUGUGGUGCCAGUAACACAGUGCCAGGCAGAGAUCAGGGACCUGAGCAAGAACCUCUGCCUGGACGCCCCCUUCUGUUCCCCAGGGGUCCGUGGGCCCUGUGGGAGGGGUGUGCAGGGUAGGAAACCACAGCUCCUUGAACUGAGACACCUGUGAGUGUGUGUGUGUGUAGACAGAGAUUGAGAGUGUGUGUGUGCGUAUGUGUAGAGAGGGAAUGUGUAUGUUCGUAUGUAUAUAUAGAGUGUCUGAGUGUGAAGUAUGGGGGCACCUUGUGUGAAACCCAGAAAAUGGACAUGGCGCUGGGUCUAUAAGUGACCACCGACAUGGAGACAUCCCUGGACUGAAAGUUAUAAAACCUGGAUGGUUGUCCUGACUCUGCCACAUGUUAAUCAUGGAAAACAUGAUUGGAAAAAUUCACUAUAGGUAGAAAAAAAAAAUGUAAUAAUAAAAUUCCUGAGAUUUUUGUGGUAAACGUGGACUUCAGCUUUCCUGGACUAUUCAACACCAUCUUCUCACCAUGUUGGGCCCUCAAGAUAAAGAGGGAUAAGUCAGCCAAACAAGAGCUUCACUCAUGAGAACAUGUCCAUGAUGAACUACAUAGUGCUUUGCUUGAUGAAUGAACAGGUAAGAAGAGGUACAGGGAAGGUGUUGGCUGAGCUAACUCUUGAGAGAGGUGACUAAGGAGAGAGAAGGCAGAGGAGCAUAUAAGGGAGACUUCCAACAACAUGGCUUGUCUAAGGACAUAGAGAGCUCUGUCAGAAGCCAGAUGCAGAGAAGUGAAGCAGUGAGUGUAAUCCCUUGCACAGAAACCUUUCCCUAGGGAAAACCAAAUAUUACAAUGACCACUGAUCUUGUAUGACCCAGAAGGAAGGUGAAAAAACAAACAAACAUGCACAUGCGUUUAAUAAAAGAAGAAACAUAUUUGACCAAUAAACAGAGGAAGAGAUAUUUAAUUUUAUUGGAGAUCAGGAAAAUUUGAAGCAAGACAUAAUGAUAUGGAAGCUUAGAUGCAUACGAUUAUUGUCUUAGU